AUCGGUGGUUAUAGUGCUGUGGCUCCACCUCUUCCCAUUCCGAACAGAGAAGUUAAGCACAGUUGCGCCAAUGGUACUGAAAAUCGGGAGAGUAGGUGACUGCCCAAU
This 108-nucleotide ribosomal RNA is filed under the name Prevotella pectinovora. The record is from RNAcentral. Lineage: Bacteria; Pseudomonadati; Bacteroidota; Bacteroidia; Bacteroidales; Prevotellaceae.